UCUAGAUAUUCCCAAACGUUUUGCAGGCAGUGCAUGAAUGUGUCUGCAUUAUAGUUUUUUCUGCAUUACAGCAGAAUUCCCAUCCCUGUAGUGUGAUCCCUAUUCAAAAACACAGGAAGACUGGAGAGGGUACUGGUCAGUUACUGCACCAAAAAGUGGAAUGUGCCUUUAGCAUAUGUGGGGUAAUAUUGCCUACAGUUAGCACUAAAUGAAGCCCUUCAAAACCUUCCCCCUCUGAUAUGAGCUGUAGUGUUUUCCCCAAAGCUUUACGAACAGAAGAGAACGACACAAAGUACUGCAGCUGCGAUCCUAUCCACAAUAUUAAAAAUCACUGAUUAAUCUUCAUUUAAAUAAAUAAUCUACAAUUCAAGUAAUAAUCAAAAACACAUUCAACAGUUAGUCAAAAAAAGUGCACGCAGGCACACAUACACACGAACUUAAACACACACACACACACUGUGUUUAGUCUUAGUAUGUACACACACAGUGUGUGUUCCUCACUGCCUUGGUCAACAUAUGUAUUGAGCUACUGUGAAUUUUGCAUUCCAAUAUCUCUAUGUCUCUAUGUAUCCUUUAAAAAAAAAUAUUCCUAUCCAAAUCUCAAUAACCUCAGUGUAUCACACAACUGUGCGCGAGAAGAACUGAAAGGCUAUAUAUUAUGAUUAAUAUUCACAAAAAUAUAAACAAAAGGAAAAUACACAAGGCCACUUAAAAUAAAUGUAAUGAAAUAUUGUAGUGUCCUAUGCGUAGCACUGUUAAAGUGACAGUUUGGCGAAUGUGCUCUCCAAAAAUCUUUUUUUUUUUUUACUCUAAGGUAGUUUACAUUAAACCACCAUAACAUUAACACCCAUAACAUCCUUGUUUCAUUUGAUCCGAUCCGAUCUUAAUCAGAUCUGUUCUUUAAUGGUUACGACCUUUUAGUAAUGAUGGUGGGCCAUUCUCACUGCACUGCAGUGGCAUUGGCAUGGUAGUGGCAGGGUAGACACAGCAGUGCUGCUGGAGUUUUUAAACACCGUGAACACUUACUGCCGAAUCUAUUACUGCUCCAAUGUGUAGAUGUAAAGUCAGAUACAGAAGCUUAUCUGUUGCUGUGUAUGUUAUUCUCUAGUCGUUCCUCAGUGACACAGGCUACAGACGGCAGGAUAUUUCAGCUGAGCAGUGAUGCUAAAAUGUUAAAAAACUGUCCAGCUGCAGUGCUGCCGUCUCUGAUCCACCCAUACCUCUGCAACACAUGCUAACAAUAAAACAAUGACCCACCACCCAAGUAUAACCUGCACUUUGGUGGUACUGUGGGCUCCUGUAUGGUCAUAAAAUAGACGGACCGUGACCACAGAGACAAGGAGGCGGUGUUAAUGUAUAGCUAAAUGCUGUGUAUUUGUUUCAGAUAAAUCGUUGCCAAACUGUUUCUUUAAUAAUGAAUAUGUGUGAUAAGUGGCUGAGUGGAUGGAGAGGGAAGAGAGGGGGUCAAUGACAAAAAUCAAGAGGGCAAGCAUUGUGGGAGUAAUAGAAUCUGACACAUGCAGCUGGACAACAGCGCCUGCACUGAACCAACCACUGAUCAAUGAACACAUAUUAAGACUCCAUAUGUACAAAAACUAGACAUAAAGCAAUGUUAUAGCCCAGAACUAAAUUUAUACAUUUAUAAAUUUACCCCAAAUGUAGUUAUGAUAUGAUUGGUGUCUGGAUGUUUGCUUCUUUACCUUGUUUAACUCUUAUUUUACACUGAUGGCAUGUAUGAUGCAGUGGUUGCUAUGGUAAUAAUUAAUGGACCAAUAUAGCAUUUUCCCUAUGGCAUAUCUAAACAGUCACACAUGCUACUGUAUACCUAGAUGUCACACAGUGAUAAAAGCCUAAAAAGUAAUUUUUGGACAUUUCACACCAGUGAAAAUCUAAAAAAGUAAAGGUCAGACACCAAACAUCUCUUGGUUAAUCGACUGACUACAUUUGGUAUAAACUAUUUCAUAAAUUUGAUCCCCUUCCUCCCAAACUAUCACUUUAAUAAUGAGACCUCUGUGCCCUUUCUGUUUCUUUCUUAGACAGCAGGUAGAAAAAAAGAAAAAACAUCAUCCAUUCAAGCAUGCUGCUUCCCCCUGAUUGGGAGAUUGUGGUGAUUGACAGGGCAGUGGGGAGGGGGUGACAGGGCGGGGUUUAGGGAUCAGAGGUGCUCUUGUGUGGGAUACUCCGUCUCUCCAGAUGAGAUUUGAGUCAGGCGUUUACUGGAGCCCCAGAGUUUCCUUGUGAUUUGACCAGAUCGCAUCUAUAAUGAAGGGAGGAAAGGAGGAGGGAAGGAUACAAAUGGAUAGAACAGUGAAGGAUAAAGAAUGUGAAAAACAGGGAAGGAAAAGAAAAGAUGAUCCAUGAGUGAAUUAGUCUAUCUGCUCUGAUUAAGUGCUUAGCAUAAAUCAAUAGUGCAUCUACAGUAAGUCAAAUUAAAUUAAAUAGUUAAAAAAUAAAUAAAUACAAAUGAAACAAUAAAACAAGUUGCUGGUUUAUAAAAUCACUCAGCGUGCACUAAUGCACUGCUAUGACUGAUCAGUGUAUAUUUAAAAAAGAAAAUAAUCCAAAUGCUUUUAAAUAUCUGACAGGUUAAUGUGCUGUAGGUUGCAAUAAAUAGAGAUGGCAAUCGUUUGCAAAUUAUAUUUGUGUUUCAGUCACAUGCAAAAAGGGUUUUUGAGGGAAUAUUAAAACACCCAGCUUGGCCAUAAAAGCUGAUUCCUAUCCAUCAGUUAAUUAAAACCAUCAGUGCUUCACAUAGAGCUGCUAAAAUGAAAGAGGUAAUCCUUUGGUAAAAAGGCAUUAGUUGAACAACAUUACAACAACCUUUAUUAUUAUUAUAUUAUUAUUAUUACUACUAUUACUAUUCUUGGUACAGCUAUUCUGUUAGUAGUGGUAAAUUCACUGGGGUAUGCUGUGGUUAGAUACAGUAGAACAGGUUCUCUGUUACUUACAUGAGGUUUGAGUAAAUCAAAAAGAAGCAUGCAACACAAAUCUGGAUUCAAAGGUUUCAAAAGUUCACUUCAGUCAAGGCCAAGAUUAGGAACAAACCUUCACUAGCUAACCCAUGAGUUCAUCUUUGUACUACAUGCCUCUGGUAAACAAUGUUAAUUGACAACACCAUCCACAUGACCACAAGGCAAAUGUUCACAUAAUGACAGGUUAACGAUCCUUGGCAACAUCAGUUUCAGUAUAUAACAUUAUUCACUACUUUUUAAUGUUACAGUGUGGUGAGCACUCUCACCCUUUAUUCACCUGGAUUUUUUUAGGAUUGUGUAAACCCUAGAAAGGUAUGCAUGUCCUUUUUAAAUUUGUGAUUCACAUUUUCAUCUGGUUGUUUUGUGCAUCUGAUAGCAGUGAGCAUAAAACCCCCAGGUGUAAAUGAAAUCAAGUUAUUUUGUGUGCACGUGCGUGCGUGUGUUUAUUAUUAUAGCUUAUAUGGAUCUAAAACUGCUCUGGUUUCAGGAAGAGUGUGUGUGUGUGUGUGUGUGUGUGUGUGUGUGU
Astyanax mexicanus (Mexican tetra) is the source of this 3498-nucleotide long non-coding RNA. RefSeq lists it as uncharacterized. The record is from RefSeq and is a predicted model, not a curated record. The transcript is spliced from 2 exons. NCBI's taxonomy places the organism in Eukaryota, Metazoa, Chordata, Actinopteri, Characiformes, Acestrorhamphidae.